GUGGGGAAUAUUGGACAAUGGGCGAAAGCCUGAUCCAGCCAUGCCGCGUGUGUGAAGAAGGUCUUCGGAUUGUAAAGCACUUUAAGUUGGGAGGAAGGGCAGUAAGUUAAUACCUUGCUGUUUUGACGUUACCGACAGAAUAAGCACCGGCUAACUUCGUGCCAGCAGCCGCGGUAAUACGAAGGGUGCAAGCGUUAAUCGGAAUUACUGGGCGUAAAGCGCGCGUAGGUGGUUCAGUAAGUUGGAAGUGAAAUCCCCGGGCUCAACCUGGGAACUGCCUCCAAAACUGCAUGACUAGAGUACGGUAGAGGGUAGUGGAAUUUCCUGUGUAGCGGUGAAAUGCGUAGAUAUAGGAAGGAACACCAGUGGCGAAGGCGACUACCUGGACUGAUACUGACACUGAGGUGCGAAAGCGUGGGGAGCAAACAGGAUUAGAAACCCGGGCAGUCC
RNAcentral lists this ribosomal RNA (450 nucleotides) under uncultured bacterium. Its description in RNAcentral is "partial 16S ribosomal RNA". It matches the Rfam family "Bacterial small subunit ribosomal RNA", at positions 354 to 796 of the family's 1533-position model. The record is from RNAcentral.